GCCUAUAUGAAGUCGGAAUUGCUAGUAAUCGCGGAUCAGCAUGCCGCGGUGAAUACGUUCCCGGGCCUUGUACACACCGCCCGUCACACCAUGAGAGUCGAUAACACCCGAAGCCUGUAGUCUAACCUUAGGGGGGACGCAGUCGAAGGUGGGAUUGAUAAUUAGGGUGAAGUCGUAACAAGGUAGC
This 187-nucleotide ribosomal RNA is filed under the name uncultured bacterium. RNAcentral's name for it is "partial 16S ribosomal RNA". It matches the Rfam family "Bacterial small subunit ribosomal RNA", at positions 1314 to 1500 of the family's 1533-position model. The record is from RNAcentral.